UAGGGAAUAUUGGUCAAUGGACGGAAGUCUGAACCAGCCAUGCCGCGUGCAGGACGAAGGCCCUCUGGGUUGUAAACUGCUUUUGUAUAGGAAGAAACCCUCCGACGUGUCGGAGGCUGACGGUACUAUAAGAAUAAGGAUCGGCUAACUACGUG
Molecule: ribosomal RNA, 155 nt
Filed under: uncultured Dokdonella sp.
Lineage: Bacteria; Pseudomonadati; Pseudomonadota; Gammaproteobacteria; Lysobacterales; Rhodanobacteraceae
Description: partial 16S ribosomal RNA
Rfam family: Bacterial small subunit ribosomal RNA
Source: RNAcentral